This is a long non-coding RNA of Malaclemys terrapin pileata, 1857 nucleotides long. RefSeq lists it as uncharacterized. The record is from RefSeq and is a predicted model, not a curated record. Lineage: Eukaryota; Metazoa; Chordata; Testudines; Emydidae. The transcript is spliced from 5 exons.
CUGGCUGGGGAGGGCAGAGCCAGAGGGCAGGAGGAGGGAGAGGGAUGGGCAGAGAUACAAUGGCAGCUCCCCCAGCCCAUGGGGUAGGAGAUUGGGAGGGGCUGCCCCGCCCAGCAGCCACUGGAAAUCUUUUUCCCUAGACAUGGUCAAACCAGGGAUAUCAAAGGUGAACCAGGAAGUACUGGGUUUACUGGUUUGCUUACCGGUUAACCGGACCUUGCCAGUUAACCCCGCCGACCGGCCAGCCCCCCUGGGCCAGAGGAGUCCCGGCUACAGUGGGCUGGGGGGUGUGGGGCAGCCCCACGCCGGUGGGCAGGCAGGAUCCCGGACAGAGCCACGCUGGAGUGGCUCCAGCCCUGUCUUCGGCAGCCAUGGCGGCCUGGAGCAGACCCUGCUGUACCUGGUCGUUGGGACCCCAGCCCCGGCUGCCCUGUGCCGGCCCGCUGGAGAGACCUGAGGCCCUCUGCAGUGAAAGGACACAUUGGAGGCCCGGAAAUUGCCUUUUGACGCUCACUUAUGUUAUGGAACUGCCGGCUGCAGAAUAACGCCCCCAUUUUGCUCCAGAUCGUCCUAUCCUCCUAGGGGCUGGGGCAGGGAAAUGGCUGUGGUGGAUCCAGCUCAGGAAACCUCCAUCCACCAGUUCUGUAAUUCCUCCCAUCCUCACACAGUCGCUGGCUACAUUUCCUAGCCUGACUCUCACCCCAUGGAUCUCACGCCUCCUCUGCCAUUGGGCAGACAUGGAAACAGCAAAGGUUCUAUCCAUGGAAAUUCACCCAUACUCGUCUGCUGAAAGAUAAAAUAAUGGAAAUCUGCCUCCAGAGAACGUGGAAGGCUGACGCAGAAGGGGAACUGAAAGAUGCCCACAUUCAAAUCAAAACGGGAUGUUGAGAACUGACUGUUGCAACGCAGGCCCCCACCAGUCCCUAGGACGGGGGUGGCCAACCUGAGCCUGAGAAGGAGCCAGAAUUUACCAGUGAACAUUGCCAAAGAGCCACAGGAAUAUGUCAGCAGCCCCCCAUCCACUAACCCCCUCCAGCCCCAAGCACCUCCCGCCCACCAGCAGCCCCGCCAAUCAGCGCCUGGGAAUCUGGGAAUUACCUUCUCUAAAAACUCAUCUUCUUUCGAAAACGUGUGGAAAUAGCUGAUUCAAGAAGUUGUUGACAGAUGGAUAGUACGCGUCUAUCAGCAGCUCCUUGGGUCACCAGCCGCUGUCAACCAAGCCAGUUGGCAGACCGAAGGCAGGGCAAGAAUGCUGACAGAACAUUCUUUGCUGUUGCGAUACGUGACAUCACAAUAAACUUAUACAGAAACACACCUGGACACCCACCCAGAGAGACACGCACCCACAGAAGCUAGUAACAUUUACAACAUUGAGAGAUGCACCCAAAAUCUCUAGGAAUUUUGAUUUGGGGGAGGGGAUCAUAGGUGCUGACUGCAUGGGUGCUCCAGGGCUGGAGCACCCACGGGGAAAAAUUAGCGGGUGCUUAGCACCCACUGGCAGCCAAGCUCUACCCUCCCCCCAGCCCAUCGCCCGCUAACCCACUCCGCCCCCUCCCUCCCAGGGCCUUCUGCCUGCCACAACAAACAGCUGUUUGGCGGCAUUCAGGAUGCUCCCAGUGGGUGGGGGAGGAGCAAAGCCGUAACUCACCCAGAGACGUGAUUUUAUUAAAAGGUUCAGAGGCCCAGAAACACGUUGAAAAUGUUCGAAGGCCCUGUGGGAAGGAGCAGAGCGUUGGGCCUGUGGGAUCAAUACGAUGACUCAGUGGAAGCUCUUUGGGGCAGGGAGAGCUUUGUGUGGCUGGGCAGGGCCUAGCAGAAUGGGGUCCCGGGCUCAGACUGACGGCUGUGCAGCCAGUG